AGAGUUUGAUCCUGGCUCAGAAUGAACGCUGGCGGCAUGGAUUAGGCAUGCAAGUCGAACGGAAACGAUGGGAGCUUGCUCCCAGGCGUCGAGUGGCGAAAGGGUGAGGAACGCGUGAGUAAUCUACCUCAAAGUCGGGGAUAGCCCGGGGAAAGUGGGAUUAAUACCGGAUGUGGCGGUGGGCUUUCGGGCUGAUUUGCUAAAGAUUUAUUGCCUUGAGAUGGGCUCGCGUCCUAUUAGCUUGUUGGUGAGGUAACGGCUCACCAAGGCGACGACAGGUAGGUGGUCUGAGAGGACGAUCACCCACACUGGGACUGAGACACUGCCCAGACUCCUACGGGAGGCUGCAGUCGAGAAUCUUCCGCAAUGCGCGAAAGCGUGACGGAGCGAUGCCGCGUGAGGGAUGAAGGCUUUCGGGUCGUAAACCUCUGUCACCCGGGAUGAAUUUUGACAGUACCGGGAGAGGAAGCCACGGCUAACUACGUGCCAGCAGCCGCGGUAAUACGUAGGUGGCGAGCGUUAUUCGGAUUUAUUGGGCGUAAAGGGUCCGUAGGGGGUUUGUUAAGUCUGGCGUGAAAUCCCGCAGCUCAACUGCGGAACUGCACUGGAAACUGACAAACUAGAGCAUAGGAGAGGAGAGUGGAAUUCCUGGUGUAGCGGUGGAAUGCGUAGAUAUCAGGAGGAACACCGAAGGCGAAGGCAGCUCUCUGGACUAUUGCUGACCCUGAGGGACGAAAGCUAGGGGAGCGAACAGGAUUAGAUACCCUGGUAGUCCUAGCCGUAAACGUUGUACACUAGGUGUGGGGGGAUUUGACCCCCUCCGCGCCCAAGCUAACGCGAUAAGUGUACCGCCUGGGGAGUACGACGGCAACGUUAAAACUCAAAGGAAUUGACGGGGGCCCGCACAAGCGGUGGAGCAUGUGGCUUAAUUCGAGGCAACGCGAAGAACCUUACCUGGGCUUGACAUAUAUGGGACAGCCUGUGAAAGCAGGUUUCUCUUCGGAGCCGAUAUACAGGUGCUGCAUGGCUGUCGUCAGCUCGUGUCGUGAGAUGUUCGGUUAAGUCCGGCAACGAGCGCAACCCGUAUCACUAGUUGCCAGCGCGUAAUGGCGGGGACUCUAGUGAGACUGCCCGUGUUAAGCGGGAGGAAGGCGCGGAUGACGUCAAGUCAGCAUGGCCCUUACGCCCAGGGCUGCACACGUGCUACAAUGGCCGGUACAAUGGGCAGCAAUACCGCGAGGUGGAGCAAAUCCUCAAAACCGGCCCCAGUUCGGAUUGGAGUCUGCAACUCGACUCCAUGAAGUCGGAAUCGCUAGUAAAGGUGUAUCAGCUACGACCCCUUGAAUACGUUCCCGGGCCUUGUACACACCGCCCGUCACAUCACGGGAGCUGUCCGCACCCGAAGUCAUUGACCCAACUUGCACGAGAGGAAGGCGUCGAAGGUGUGCUCAGUGACUGGGAUGAAGUCGUAACAAGGUAGCCGUAGGGGAACCUGCGGCUG
This 1501-nucleotide ribosomal RNA is filed under the name uncultured prokaryote. RNAcentral's name for it is "partial 16S ribosomal RNA". It matches the Rfam family "Bacterial small subunit ribosomal RNA". The record is from RNAcentral.